GCGUUUAGUUUAAAUUAAAUAAAACCAAAAUUCCUCCUACUUUUCUCAUCACCAAACCUUCUCCAGCAAGUCCUAGGGCUCCUCGCACGUCGUCGGCAUCGGAGAUGGCGACACAGGAUUGGCCGCGCAUCUUAAUUUCAGAACUGCAAGGACCCCCCUCUCUCCCUCUUCUCUCUCCCACCGAAAAACUCAAGCCGAGUAAUGUGACCAUAAAAAACCCUAAGAGAAAUACUAGAGCAACCGUGGUCCUGUGAUUUGAUGCAUUCUCCUUUGUAAGCUGCAGUUUAUCCACUGGAGACGGUGAGAAUUCAGUGCUGUUAUGUAUAGUGUGCUUUCCUGCUUUGGUUGUCGUUGUUGUUGUUGUUAUUAUGGCUUCUGUUUGAUUAUAUAAUCUUCAUUUGGAUUUGGCGUCGAUUUUGUGUCUUGGUGCCAAGAAGAUGUAUAAGAACCAGUUACAAGAGCUAGCGCAGCGGAGCUGCUUCAAUCUGCCGUCGUAUACGUGCAUCAGGGAAGGUCCCGAUCACGCGCCGCGGUUCAAGGCGGCCGUCAACUUCAACGGGGAGACGUUUGAAUGCCCUAGCUACUGCACCACUCUCCGCCAGGCGGAGCAUUCCGCCGCUGAAGUAGCGCUCAAUGCUCUCUCUGGCCGCGGUCCUUCCAACUCACUUGCAGCUAGAAUUCUGUUUAUUCCUGCUCAGAUGAAAAGGAAAAGAGUAGAUAAUGGCGGACAUGUGGACGAGACGGGGGUAUAUAAGAAUCUACUGCAGGAGGUUUCUCAAAGAGUCGGUGCAUGUUUGCCGAAAUAUUCAACUUUCAGAAGUGGUCUUGGACACCUUCUAGUUUUCACCUGUACUGUAGAAUUGGCAGGGGUUAUAUUUACUGGCGAUCCAGCUAAGAACAGGAAGCAAGCAGAAAAGAAUGCUGCCAUGACAGCUUGGUUCUCUCUCAAAUCAUUACUGCAGAAAUCCGAAACAUUCCAUGAAAAGAACCACAAGGAUGAGCUAGAGCACGUCACUGUAGCUCAUGCUCUGCAGCAGUAUCUGGUAAAAGCAAGAACUGCGAAGGUGCCUUUUCCAAUCAAAUUCCCGACAGUAAGUCCAAAGCUGGCAAGCACAUUUCCAUCCCCGCCUGCAACCUUGAAACUUCUUCCAUUGAUUUGCCCAAGGACAGGCCAACAAAACAGACCAACUGCACCAUUGAGCAACACCUCAACAUUCCAAAAAUAUGUUCGAACAAAGCAAAGCGAGCUGGAAACCGCAGUUUCAAAUGAGAGCCUUUCAAUGGUGAUGGAGAACCUUAGACACCGACUAGCGCAGAAGUUCCCUGCCGCAGAAGCAGCACCCUACAUUCCAUUCCGGCAUUGCAACCCUCGCCGAAGAAUCGCCCCACCAGUAACGAUCCGCACCACAGUUCCUGUAUUCUCUCCACCGCCGGCGCUUCCGUCUCCCCAACCGUCAUUAGCUCUGAGACCUCCAGCAUUGGGUAUUGCGCCACCUAUCUCUGUAAAACAAGCUGUUCCUGCAUAUGCUAGCACACAUGUCCCGUUCGAGAAGCUACCCCUGGUACAACCACCAUCUAUACAGGAUGAUACUCACCUUUUCAGAUCUACAAUGGCUAGAGCAGAGCAGCCACCGAUGUUUCGAACUCUGUCAGGUAGACUAGAAGAUUCGCGUGUCUCCAGGCUUCCAGUGUUUCAAGUCGAGGAGCCUCGUAGCUGUAAGUUAUCGCCUGCCGCUAUGGUGCAGUAUUCGGAACACACCUUACCUCCAUCUGAGAUAUUCACAGCUCCAGUCGAGCCUUGGGUUUCAAAUAUUACCCCUGCCAAUUCAAAGCCGGCUUGUGGUGAGGUAUUGUCGACUAUAAAUGCUGUGCAGGACAAGCUGCAGGAGCUGAAGAUCCAAAAGAAGUGAAGAUAUAAUCGGAGGGAAUUGAAAAUUCGCAAGAAAACAGCGCAGUAAGCUUCUUUUGAUAUGACAUAAGAUUACUAUUACUACAGAAAGAGUGGUCAAACUCAAAUCCUGACAUUUGGCGACUGGGAAAAUGCCAACAGCCUCCCCAUAACUCAGUGCUUCGAGUGCGGCAGGCAGCCAGGCCGGGCGGCCUCCUCGCUGCAGCUGCUCCUCCAGAGAAUGCUCAAACAAUAAUAACGCCGCCGAUCUCUAUGGCGUUGGUUUUGGAUACGGAUUUGGAUUUGAGAAACCUCUCCCUCCUGUCUCAGUCCCACGCCGGAAUUUAUGCUGCUGCACCUGUUCCUCACAAAAAGGUGAGAUCAUCACCAUCACCAUCAUCAUCAUCAUCCCUUUUUCUUGGGAUGUGCAGAACCCAACAACUGUGUUUAAUUUUGUUUGUUCAAUCUCCAGCUAAUUGAUGAAUUGAAGUCAGUCAAGAUAGUUUCCAACUGUUUCUUGUCCGAAUCUGGUUGUUUGCUUGCUAAUUAUGUCUCUGUUUUGCUCCAUUCUUUGCCCACAAUUUUGAAUAGAAUAGAACAAAUUUUACCUUUUGAUUUAUAUGAAUGAAUGUUU
Andrographis paniculata is the source of this 2522-nucleotide RNA transcript. It is a transcript of the gene named double-stranded RNA-binding protein 2-like, with no coding region annotated. Lineage: Eukaryota; Viridiplantae; Streptophyta; Magnoliopsida; Lamiales; Acanthaceae. The record is from RefSeq and is a predicted model, not a curated record. The transcript is spliced from 6 exons.